GGCUCGCUAGCUUAGUUGGUAAAGCACUUGUCUAGCGAAUAAGAAUCGUGAGCUCAAAUCUCACCUGAGCUG
Non-coding RNA from Aedes albopictus (Asian tiger mosquito), 72 nucleotides. NCBI's taxonomy places the organism in Eukaryota, Metazoa, Arthropoda, Insecta, Diptera, Culicidae. The record is from Rfam.